GUCAGAGUUUGAUCCUGGCUCAGAUUGAACGCUGGCGGCAUGCUUUACACAUGCAAGUCGAACGGUAACAGGUCUUCGGAUGCUGACGAGUGGCGAACGGGUGAGUAAUGCAUCGGAACGUGCCCAGUCGUGGGGGAUAACGCAGCGAAAGCUGUGCUAAUACCGCAUACGAUCUAUGGAUGAAAGCGGGGAUCGAAAGCCUCGCGCGAUUGGACGCGGCCGAUGUCAGAUUAGCUAGGUUGGGU
This 245-nucleotide ribosomal RNA is filed under the name uncultured Malikia sp. RNAcentral's name for it is "partial 16S ribosomal RNA". It matches the Rfam family "Bacterial small subunit ribosomal RNA", at positions 1 to 255 of the family's 1533-position model. Lineage: Bacteria; Pseudomonadati; Pseudomonadota; Betaproteobacteria; Burkholderiales; Comamonadaceae. The record is from RNAcentral.